Molecule: ribosomal RNA, 324 nt
Filed under: uncultured eukaryote
Lineage: Eukaryota
Description: partial 18S ribosomal RNA
Rfam family: Eukaryotic small subunit ribosomal RNA
Source: RNAcentral
CCCUUAGAUGUCCUGGGCUGCACGCGCGCUACACUGAUGUGUCCAGUAAGCACCUAACCUCUUCCGAAAGGAACGGGUAACCUUUGCAAAGCACAUCGUGAUGGGGAUAGAUUAUUGCAAUUAUUAGUCUUGAACGAGGAAUUCCUAGUAAGCACAAGUCAUCAGCUUGUGUUGAUUACGUCCCUGCCCUUUGUACACACCGCCCGUCGCUCCUACCGAUUGAAUGUUCCGGUGAGCUCUUCGGACUGCGCGGUCUGCAGUUUCUGCGUUCCGUGCGGAAAGUUGCGCAACCCUUAACAUUUAGAGGAAGGAGAAGUCGUAACA